Molecule: unclassified non-coding RNA, 146 nt
Filed under: soil metagenome
Description: partial internal transcribed spacer 1
Source: RNAcentral
ACGAGUUAGGGCCUCUGGCCCGAACCUCCAACCCUUUGUAUCAAAACCUCGUUGCCUCGGGGAGGCCUGCCUCACGGCUGGCCCCCCGAUGGACCACUAAACUCUGCAUCUGUAUGACGUCUGAGUAAAGAUUUUAAAUUAAAUCA